RNAcentral lists this ribosomal RNA (393 nucleotides) under uncultured bacterium. RNAcentral's name for it is "partial 16S ribosomal RNA". It matches the Rfam family "Bacterial small subunit ribosomal RNA", at positions 338 to 729 of the family's 1533-position model. The record is from RNAcentral.
CCUACGGGUGGCAGCAGUGAGGAAUAUUGGUCAAUGGGCGCGAGCCUGAACCAGCCAAGUAGCGUGAGGGAUGACGGCCCUACGGGUUGUAAACCUCUUUUGUAAGGGAGUAAAGGGAGGCACGUGUGCCUUUUUGAGAGUACCUUAAGAAUAAGCAUCGGCUAACUCCGUGCCAGCAGCCGCGGUAAUACGGAGGAUGCGAGCGUUAUCCGGAUUUAUUGGGUUUAAAGGGAGCGUAGUGGGUUGUUCAAGUCAGCGGUAAAAUUUGGGGGCUCAACCUCAUAAUGCCUUUGAAACUGGAAGCCUUGAGUGCGCUUGAGGUAGGCGGAAUGCGUGGUGUAGCGGUGAAAUGCAUAGAUAUCACGCAGAACUCCGAUUGCGAAGGCAGCUUAC